UGAAUUUUCUUGUAACUUGUAGGUCAGUAUUUCUAAUUAUAAUGAUCAGCUUAAGAUGGGAUUACUAUUACUACAUCCAGCUAUGUAGCAAUUGGGUACCAUGGUCAGACUUGUAACUCUAUGUACAUUCCAUUUUAGAAUUUAUAUGGUUGACAAACACGGCAUGGUCUGUAAGGUGGACGUGGAUCUGAUAGUAAUGGACGGUGUUAAAUAAGGAA
This is a long non-coding RNA of Olea europaea var. sylvestris, 218 nucleotides long. RefSeq lists it as uncharacterized. The transcript is spliced from 2 exons. The record is from RefSeq and is a predicted model, not a curated record. Lineage: Eukaryota; Viridiplantae; Streptophyta; Magnoliopsida; Lamiales; Oleaceae.